ACCCGCUGAACUUAAGCAUAUCAAUAAGCGGAGGAAAAGAAACCAACAGGGAUUGCCCUAGUAACGGCGAGUGAAGCGGCAACAGCUCAAAUUUGAAAUCUGGCGUCUUUGGCGUCCGAGUUGUAAUUUGCAGAGGGCGCUUUGGCAUUGGCAGCGGUCCAAGUUCCUUGGAACAGGACGUCACAGAGGGUGAGAAUCCCGUACGUGGUCGCUAGCCUUUACCGUGUAAAGCCCCUUCGACGAGUCGAGUUGUUUGGGAAUGCAGCUCUAAAUGGGAGGUAAAUUUCUUCUAAAGCUAAAUACUGGCCAGAGACCGAUAGCGCACAAGUAGAGUGAUCGAAAGAUGAAAAGCACUUUGGAAAGAGAGUUAAAAAGCACGUGAAAUUGUUGAAAGGGAAGCGCUUGCAGCCAGACUUGCCUGUAGUUGCUCAUCCGGGUUUUUACCCGGUGCACUCUUCUAUAGGCAGGCCAGCAUCAGUUUGGGCGGUUGGAUAAAGGUCUCUGUCAUGUACCUCUCUUCGGGGAGAACUUAUAGGGGAGACGACAUGCAACCAGCCCGGACUGAGGUCCGCGCGUCUGCUAGGAUGCUGGCGUAAUGGCUGU
Molecule: ribosomal RNA, 603 nt
Filed under: uncultured fungus
Lineage: Eukaryota; Fungi
Description: eukaryotic LSU rRNA
Rfam family: Eukaryotic large subunit ribosomal RNA
Source: RNAcentral